This 86-nucleotide transfer RNA is filed under the name Nematostella vectensis (starlet sea anemone). It matches the Rfam family "tRNA". From Rfam's summary of the family: Transfer RNA (tRNA) molecules are approximately 80 nucleotides in length. Their secondary structure includes four short double-helical elements and three loops (D, anti-codon, and T loops). Lineage: Eukaryota; Metazoa; Cnidaria; Anthozoa; Actiniaria; Edwardsiidae. The record is from Rfam by way of RNAcentral.
CCUUCGAUAGCUCAGUUGGUAGAGCGGGGGACUGUAGAUUUAUAAUUGUGAUCCCUAGGUCGCUGGUUCGAAUACGGCUCGAAGGA